This is a long non-coding RNA of Onychostruthus taczanowskii (white-rumped snowfinch), 4666 nucleotides long. RefSeq lists it as uncharacterized. The transcript has 8 exons. NCBI's taxonomy places the organism in Eukaryota, Metazoa, Chordata, Aves, Passeriformes, Passeridae. The record is from RefSeq and is a predicted model, not a curated record.
AAAGAGUGAGCUGGCAUGCAAAUAAAUAUAUCACAGGGAUGCAGUUAAUGAAGUGCAAUAAAAAAACCAAAAAAACUCCAUUCCGGUAGCAGUAGAGAUAAAAUUGUCUCUUGGACCAAAGGACCAAUCUAAAAUAUUAAUCUGAAAAUAUAUUCAGUAUUUGCAAUUACAAGCAUUCCUUGUUAGAGCAAGAGAGAUGAAGAGGAAUAUUGAGAAGUGCUUCUCUGAGAACAUUAUUUUAGAGAGGUUUUUAUCACUUAGAGCUUUCAGAGCACCUCUUCCUCUCCCUCUCUCUCUCUCUCUUGAGCCUGACAGCCUGUACAUGCCACCAUUCCUCUACAGGGAAUGCCUGGUUAAUGGGCCUCCAGCCACACAUGAGUCUCCUGGGAAAAGUAUGCAAGGGUGUGGAGCAGCAGUGGGACUUGGGUGCCAGGAGGACCUCGGAGCAGAAGGAGCUGCCCACUGGUGUGGGGAUGAGUGUGGGUGGCAGUGAGAAAGAAGACAACUUGCCCUGAAAACACCUUGGCUUCAGGGGAAGCAAAAUGCGACACAAGCCAGAGACAUUCAGAGGAAAUGCAAGAGUUUGAGAACCAGGAUGAGGAGCUUAUUUUCAAUACAAUGUCCUCUGCCUAGCCUUUUAAAGGGAUAAGGUACCAGAAGUCUCUGUUAAUAGCAUGGCCCAUAUGUUGCCCUCACUAAACAGCACAGUGUGGAGCAAAGGAAUAAAACCACAAGAAAGAUGAAGCCAGAAUAGGAAUGGCAAGUCAAAAAAGAGAACAGAACAACUUCCAUAAUGAGACCAGCAACAGAAACUCUACUGGACAAUGGCCAAUGGAUCCUAUAUUUUGUUUUUUUAUUCUCUGCCGCUCAUGAUCUGAAAAUUCAAACUCUUCAUUGAAGUUUUAAGAGUCAUUUGUUAUGAAAAGCAAAUUCCAAUCAAAUGUUUAAUGAAUGUUGGAACAAGGCAUGGAUCAGCAGAAUGAGGCAAGACUGCCAAAUAUGCUUUUAGAGGGCUUAAAACAUAAUGGAGUCCAACCCUUUUGCACAGGCUUCCCGUUUUGAUGUGUAAGUUGCUACAAGUUAAAGUUUUUCCAGGGAAGAUGCUCUAUGCUUUGAAGAAGCUGUUUUUAGAACAAAGGGUCCUGGGAUUCACUGUCAUGAGUUUUAACCCUAGUACUCAAGGCAUCCUCCAUGAUUUUUGGGGCAGAUAUAUGCAGGAUGAAAGCUGACAUCAAAAGAAAGAUGCACCUGAAGAAAGAAUGGUGAAAGGAAUGGAUCUGCCACAGCUUACAGUCCCAGUGGCUGCAGAUGAGCUGCAGAUGAGAUGCAUAAGUAGGUGGGCAUUAAAAAAGGGUUGUGUUUCUUAGGCCAAAGCUGAACACUCUUCUGUCUACUGCAUCAUGUUCUCAGACCAGAAAAGCUUAAAUUUGUUUGUUUCCAUUAAAAUCGAAGAUUUAGACUCAUUUCCAUCAGCAAAGAAACAAAUGGGUUGGCAAGGGUUUCGUCAUGUGAACAGUUUUUUUGGAUAAACUGAUGGACAAUUUAUUCAUCAUUUUGUCAAAAAAAAAAAAGGUAAGAAGAAGAAUCCAGAUGAAUCUUUUCAAAUUUUGGGGUACAAUAUUUCCCUCAGCAGGCAGUAAAAAAGUAAAAAGUUAAAAAAUAUCUGGCUUGGUUUUUUUCUCCUGUUGGGUACAGGGCUAUUGAGUAGCUUGCACCAGAAAGCAUCUCUCCAUAGGAAAAAAAUAAAAUUCAUUUAGCAUUUACUCUCAAAUGGGAAAGCCCAUAACUCAGUUGAAAGUUUUUCAUGCUGAAUAUCUUCAAACAGCAAACUAAUAGUAUGCUUUCUUAUUUAUUAUGACUGAUUUUUAUUUAUUUUUCUAAUUGCACUUCAUUAAAUAUAUCCCCAGGGAAACUAUAUCAAAGUUGUCUCCAUGUAAAUGUAAUGUAACAAGUUGAAAUGUUACUCCCUGUCAUUGAGAUAUCCAUAACACAUCCUAGACUAAUCAAGUAGGAGUGACACUUAAAAAUAGUUCAAGAGCCUAAAGCGUUUUUCUAUCUGAACAGCGAAGGGCAAGUAUUUAGUUCCAGAGCUACAGCCCACCCACAGCAAAUACAGGCAUUUUUACUUUCUAAAGUAGUCUUUAUUGUUCUAGGUCUUUUUUGGGUUUGGGUUUUUUUUUUUUUUUCAGUAAUAUAGUCCAUGAUCUUUCAAUAUUGACGUACCUUCAUGCAGUAUUUCCAUAUUUUUUGGAUAUUAUCAUAAUGAUAUUAAGUAUAAUAAGUAUCAUAAUUGUAGUCUUGAAAUUCUCUUGCCGUAUUGUGUAAUAACAGUAGUCCCUUCUCUUUGACAGAAUAUUUCUUGACAAUGAGGAAGAGGCAAGCCUUGGAAGGAAAUUGUAGACAUGAAGGAUUUUCAGUCUACACUUUCCAGGACCAAGCAGUCUGCCAGAUUCUCCAUGGAUACUCAUCACAAUUUGCCUUAAUUUCUUGACUCUUCAUGUUUGUUUGGGGGGAGGGGGUGGAGGUAGGGGUGUAGGGGAGUGGUGUUUACGAGCAUAAAUGCAAAAGGUGAGGCUUCAAUUAUUAUUUUAAUGAGAAGGUGGAAUGCCUGUUUUACCCUAUGGGAUACUCUCUUGCAAUGUACACAUGCCAGAAAUCAUGGUGAAUUUUUCCAAGUCAUAUAUUUUUUCAAGGUAAGUAAAAUUGUCUACAACACAUUGGCUUUCAUAUUGGCUUUGGGACUGGCUUUGAGACCCUGGCAUGGAAACACACAAUAUACAUUGAUGAAAGGAAUUGAUAUGGUCACAUUCCUUUGCAGUCUAGCUGUGAUUGGAAACAGUUAUAUAGUGACACAAGCUCUAUAGGGCAAUCAUGUGCUUCAGUGCUAAGGUUUUAGAAAGUCUAAAUUGUGAAUAAUACCACAUCUCUGUUCUCACUGUCUUUGUCACAAAUUAAGAAACUGUAAAAUCAUCCAGUAGUGAGUUGGGUGUACUGUGAAAUGCAAGUGGUUUAACCAAACCCAGAACAGAGUAAAGGUAUGCAUGCAAAAUAAACUUCUAAGUGAUUAAAAAGAAAACAAAAAUCACAUCGAGUAAAUAAAAUGCCUGUGAGAAAAAAAAGUGCAUCUCAUGACUAAAUACCCAAGCCAUACUUAUCACUCUUAAUUCAGCAUGCACAACAACAAGCUGAGGUGCCAUGCAGAAACACAGACAUGCAAAAAUCCAGUUUCAGUAGUUGCAAAACAAAAAAGGCGUUUCAUCAGAACAGCUUCUUGAUCUGCCAGAUUAGUGACUGGCAGGGAAAGCAGGGGAAGAGCAGGAAACAGACUUGUGGCACAAGGGGAAUAAAUAGAGUAGGUGCAGUUAACUUAGAGAAUUGUGCGCUCAGUUGUGCUGAAAGAGUGACCAAUUAGUGCCUGAAAUCCCUCCACAUGGGUGAGGAUUUCAAAUUCUCUAAUGUCAAAAAAAUAGUUAUGAAAACAAGUUUCAAAAUUUCUGCUAAAAUAGAAACCUUUCUCCUACCAGUAAAAAAUAAACUAUGAAUAAGAACAUUAGAAAUAGAACAAAAUAUAGGAAUAGCAAACAAAUUAUCAAAUACAAGGAAUAGACUAUAUCCAUUAAACUACAUGUCAGUGACCUUCUGCAUCAAAAAUGCUAUCUUGGACUUAAGAAAUGCCAGUAGAGAAAUAAAGGUAGCAGUCAGAACAAACAUUUUUAAAUAAUCAAGCUUUCCACCUAAGGUCUUAAUCUUUAUAAGGAAAACUUGGAAAAUAAAUCCUGAAAGAAAUGCAUAUUAAUUCUUUCUUUACAGGCAGACAAAAGGAGCAGAAAACAGUUUGGGCAGAGUGAUUUGUUAAUGCUGAGACAGCAUUGCCUCAGCUGAGCAACUGUAGUGCAGGGACAAAUAGGACCAGAAAAUCUAUGAAAGGUAGCUCAGCAGUUCCUCUGAGAUAUUGUCACUUAUAAUGAGCAUGUUAGACAGAAAAAAAAAAUAUUUUUAAAGCCCAUUUCUCAAGAGAUAAAAUCAGAAAGCAGUUUUUUAUACCAUGUGCAGGAAGUCUCAAGUGGUCUACCUCUAAAAUGUAUCAAUAGAACCCAACUGGUCACUGUUGCAGUCAUGAUAUUCAUGUGAAGAACUUCUGGAUUAGAAAAAAUGAGUUUAUGGCUAAAACUCCACUGUUAUCAUUGUAAAGUGCUGAGACCCUCAAAUACUUCUCUUUCAUAAAAAAUAAAAUAUUUCUCAGAAUUUAUUUGAUAUUGAUACAAUUAUUGUGGUUUAAAGGAGGACAUCUGUGAAAUUUGUCAGUAUCAAGGACAAAUACUUGCAGAAAAAAAAUCAGCAAAACAAGAAAGCCAGCUAAUGCUGCAUGAAGCAUCUUGGAAAAAUUCUUCCUUAUAUGGCUUCCUUGAAUUCCCUGUGUACAUUUAAUUCAUUUUUUAUAGCUAAGACUGCAUUGUCUUGAUGAAAUAUUGAGCAGGUGAAGAAUAUUUCAGCUUCAUUUUUUAAAAUCAACAUAAGAGCAUUAACUGACCUCCUACAGUGUGUGACUAACAAAAUGCAUUAUUUGAUAUAAUUUAAGAAAUGUAUUUAUUAAUGAAACCUAAGGAACUGAGUUUUGCUUUUAAUGUUAAUUUUUUGAGCACUAUAAAAUGCCAUAUUAAGUGAA